GGCCUAACACAUGCAAGUCGAGCGGAAACGACACUAACAAUCCUUCGGGUGCGUUAAUGGGCGUCGAGCGGCGGACGGGUGAGUAAUGCCUAGGAAAUUGCCUUGAUGUGGGGGAUAACCAUUGGAAACGAUGGCUAAUACCGCAUGAUGCCUACGGGCCAAAGAGGGGGACCUUCGGGCCUCUCGCGUCAAGAUAUGCCUAGGUGGGAUUAGCUAGUUGGUGAGGUAAUGGCUCACCAAGGCGACGAUCCCUAGCUGGUCUGAGAGGAUGAUCAGCCACACUGGAACUGAGACACGGUCCAGACUCCUACGGGAGGCAGCAGUGGGGAAUAUUGCACAAUGGGCGAAAGCCUGAUGCAGCCAUGCCGCGUGUAUGAAGAAGGCCUUCGGGUUGUAAAGUACUUUCAGUUGUGAGGAAGGGUGUGUAGUUAAUAGCUGCGCAUCUUGACGUUAGCAACAGAAGAAGCACCGGCUAACUCCGUGCCAGCAGCCGCGGUAAUACGGAGGGUGCGAGCGUUAAUCGGAAUUACUGGGCGUAAAGCGCAUGCAGGUGGUUCAUUAAGUCAGAUGUGAAAGCCCGGGGCUCAACCUCGGAACUGCAUUUGAAACUGGUGAACUAGAGUACUGUAGAGGGGGGUAGAAUUUCAGGUGUAGCGGUGAAAUGCGUAGAGAUCUGAAUGGAAUACCAGUGGCCAAGGCGGCACCCCUGCACAGAUACUGACACUCAGAUGCGAAAG
RNAcentral lists this ribosomal RNA (737 nucleotides) under Vibrio sp. CCH-26. RNAcentral describes it as "bacterial SSU rRNA". It matches the Rfam family "Bacterial small subunit ribosomal RNA", at positions 45 to 759 of the family's 1533-position model. Lineage: Bacteria; Pseudomonadati; Pseudomonadota; Gammaproteobacteria; Vibrionales; Vibrionaceae. The record is from RNAcentral.